RNAcentral lists this long non-coding RNA (16642 nucleotides) under Medicago truncatula (barrel medic). RNAcentral describes it as "long non-coding RNA (MTRU_LNC008252)". The record is from RNAcentral. Lineage: Eukaryota; Viridiplantae; Streptophyta; Magnoliopsida; Fabales; Fabaceae.
CCACCAUCCAAAUGCUUCUGUGAAAUAUUGUUUGUAUACUUCAAGAUUCACUUGUCCAAUUUCUCUUUCCUCAUCUUCAAUGAGCUUUGCUGCAGUUUUAUCAGACUUGGAUUGAAUUUGAGAAGACUGUUUUUCUCCGCUUUCUUUUUCUUUUGAAAUGACGCGGGCGAGUUUUGGAGAUUGAGCGGAAUCAUCACUAGUUUUCUCACUUGUUUCUGCUAUUUCCAUUGAGGAUUCAUGAGCAGCUACAAGUGCACCAAAAUCUAGGCCUGCUUUGAGAAGUUCAUCAUACUUUCCACUUUGCACUACUCUCCCUUCUCGCAUCACCUUUGAAAUUGGUAUCAAAACAAGCCAAGUUUCUCAGUUGAACUUGAAAAAACUUUAAUGUUUAAGGUUAUUUAUUGCAAACAAGUUAUCAGUUCUCAGCAAUCUCAAAAAUGAUGACUGUGAUAGAUUAACAGUGCAAAAAAAUUACGCUGAAAGUGUAUAAAAAUUAAUCUAUAUAUUUUCCCCCCUGAUGAGUGUGAUUGAUUAACAGUGUAAAUAUUUUACGCUGAAAGUGUAUAAAAAUUAAUCUAUUUGUUUUUUCCCCCUUAUUUGGUGAAAGGAUUAUAAAAUACAUGUAUAACACCAUUGAUUAACACCUACAUCAUGAGUAUUGUCACUCACUAUUGGUAAGAUAACUUGGGAGAAACUGAAUUGAACUGUCAUUUACAUAAAAAAUCAAACAUUUUAGGGACUUGUGAGCAUAUACAUACCAUUAUAGAGUCAACAUUAUGCAAGAAAUCAACUUGGUGUGUUACAAGUAAAACUGCCUUAUCUUUGAGAGUUCCCAUGAUACAUUCCUGCAACAAAAAUAGAGAAUCAGGAACUUCAUUCGUGACUGCAUUAGAAAAAAACUGACGUUAUCAUUUUGAUUAAUAUAAUAUAAUGUUUCUAAAAUGAGAAACAUCGUUAUAUCACUAAAAACUAGAAAAUUAAGCUAUUUAGCACUUCUUGUAAGUUGUAACUUUGUGCUUACCUUAAAAAUAAAUGAUCCUGUUUGAGCAUCAACAGCACUGAAUACAUCAUCAAGGAGAUAGAUGUCACUGUCCUGAUAUACAGCUCUAGCAAGUUGUAUGCGCUGUUUCUGGCCGCCACUGAGGUUAAUACCGCGCUCUCCAAUCUCGGUUUCGUCACCAUCUUCCAUCAUUACAAGAUCCUUUUCAAGGCAGCACACUCUUAGAGCUUCCUUGUACUUUUCCAUGUUCAUUGGCAAACCAAACAAUAUGUUUUCUUUGAUGGUUGCAUUCUGAAUCCAUGAUGUUUGUGCUACAUAUGCCGUCGUCCCACAAACUCUAACCUGUAACACAAAAUCUUUUUCAAUACAUUUGAAAAGCAUAGUCAUAAAUUCUUGCAACAAAAACAGUCUCACAAAUGUUUAUGCUAAUAGAUAAGCUCAAAUAAACCAGUCUUAAUAGGCCUUACACCUGAUAUGAAUGGUUCAAUUUUUUCCCAUGUGUCUUAGAAGAUGAUGAACAAAACAACCUUGUGAAUGUCAUGAAUCUUAAAGAUCAACGUUCAUGUUCUCUAAUAGUUAUAUGAUAUGCAUGUGCCAAAUCCUAUCCUAGGACAUGAAACAUAUACUUUUUUUAACAUGAAUGAAUUAAUACCUAGGUUUUAGACUGUGAUCACUGUCUCAGUAGUAGAAAAUAGAAAAUGAAGACAAGAAGGCCUAAUGCGAUAGAGUUUUGCUGUUGUAGCUGCAAUUACAGUUUUUAGCGCAACAAUUUCUAGCCUGGAUGAACCAAAUACAAAACUUUUUUAACUCUCCAGUUCUCAUGGGAACAAGUCCCUGAUAAUCCGGAGUUCAGUCGGGAGGUAAUUAAUGUUACAGUCAUAAUUCAAACUUGGAUUCUCCAAAAUGAUACAAAAUACUAUUCUUUUGUGCAAGAUGAAGAAAAUAACCUGAAGUGUGUUGAUUGUAAAAAAAAAUUCACGAGUCCAAGGCAAAAAAGCAUACCUUUCCUGAGAUCUUGAACAUUUCCCCCAACACAGAAGCCAGUAAUGAAGACUUGCCUGAUCCAACAGUUCCUACAACAGCAGCAUGGUCCCCUUUCUUAAUCACCAAUUCCUUAACUCGCAAAGCCUCAUUCUCAUCCAUAUCAUCCCAAGAAAAUUUCCCAUCUUUUAUCUCCACAGCUACAUCACCAUUACAGUUCUCCUCUCUUUGCACUGCAUUCUCAUCCAUUUCCUUACUCAUCAUGAACUUAUCCAACCUCCCUAAUGAUAUCGUUGCUUGCGAAAUAUUGAUAAGAGCCUGUGGAAAAGUACUCAUAGGCUCUUGAAGUAUCUUGAUCACUGCAGUUACUGUGAAAACAGUGCCAGCAUUCAGAGGAAUCCCCAUAAAAGUUGCAACUCCAAAUGUAAGAACAGUUAUAGCUAAAGGAGAAGUAGUCAAAACUCCCAUGUUCACAGCAAAAUAGUACAAGAAUUUCCCAAUCCAUCCAUGUUCGGCUUCACGAAACUGUUGAAUCUUGUUCCCGAAGUACUCUUCCCACGCUUGAAAUUUAAUCACACGCAUGUUGUUAAGCAACUCAUUCGUUGACUUCAUUCUCGAAUCGCGGCUCAUCAUUAUCCGAAACUGAAAAACAUUACUAUUCUUCGAUCGAUAUGCAGUGAAGCAGAAGACAAUGGCAGUACCAAGAAUUGCUGCAACGACAGAUACACCAACAUAGCUAUACAUAAGAGCCAAUGCAGCGGCAACUUGUAAUGGCAUCAUCCAAAUAGGAUGAAACUGCUUCAUCAAGUCUGAGAGUUGUUGAGCAUCAACAGCCAUGUGAUUCACAAUCUGUCCAGUUCCAUGAGCCUGUCUUGAAGAACUUGACAACCUUAAACCCUUUUUGUAAACCGAAGUGAUUAUGCUCGAGCGAACAAGCAUACCUAGUUUCUGAGAAUGGAAGUUGAAUUGAUGAACACUAAGUACUUCAACAGAUUUUGCUGCAAAAAGGACACAUAUCAAAACAAUACCUUCACUAGUCGGACUAUCUUUCUGUGAUGUGAAAUCAACAAAACUCUGAAUCAGCAAUGGACCGACAUACAUAACACAAAGCCUCAUGAAUGCAAGAAAGCCAGUGAAAACUAUGUGUUUCCAAAAACACCUAAAAAGGGUAACUCCAACUGGAUGCUUACUGUUUUCCUCUGGUUUCGGCCAAUUGUUUUGAAAAAGUUCAGACAUUUUUUCUGCUCUAAAAUCAAGAGGAAGUGAAGGAACAUCUUCUAGUUUAAGGGGUGUUUGGUAGCCUUUAUUGAGUAAAGGAUUCAGCCAAAACCACCCUGUUUUGGACAAAAAUGAAGAAUGGGCAUAAGGACUCAAAGUUCUAUCGAUUGAAAUCGAUGGAUAUGUGGCUACUACAUCGGAUAUUCUUAUCACAUGAAUACCUGAUGACCCUUUUAUUGAUAUGACAAAAAAGAACACAGAUAAUGGAAGAUUAACCAAUGAGAAUAUGUCAUCUAUUCUCAAACUAAGCUCCAACUUUUCUUCACGGACAGUUAUCAAUCGAACAAUAGCCGAAACAGCAAACAAAGUAGCAAUCACAAAGUUUGCUAUCCAAUAGAUUCUUAGUGAUAAAGGGUGUUUGGAAGAUUUGAACUUUUUCUCAUGUAACAUUAGAAUCACUAUAACUAUGUUGGUUAUUGCUUGAAACAACCGAAAAAGUGCUUCUAUUUGUUUCCAUGAAGAAAGGUUAUUGGUUUGAGUAAAAGCCAAGAUUCCUAGAACAGUGUAACUUAUAGCCAAAAGGGUAGUUACCAAAAAGGCUAGUUUGAACAAAAAGGUGAUUUUAUAGUCAGAAUCUUUCUCUUGCAGAAGUGGUUUUGUGAUUGAGGAGCUAGUGUUUGCUCUUGAAUAGAAUCUUGAAUAGAGUUUUUGAGCUGCAAAAGCUAAGAGGGAGAGCAAAAACAAGGAAUCAAGAGCAGAAAGUAGAAGUCUCUGAGGACAAGGAGAUAGGAAAAUGAACCUUAACCAUUGAAGAAUGAAUUGUGGUGUAGAAGAAGAUGAAUGUAAAGGUAAAAGGGUGCAUGAAGGAGAAGUUAGCCAUGCAGAAGUAGAAGAAGACAUGGCUAUAAGAUUAUGGAAUGAUAAUUGUUAAGGUUUCAUAUUAUUUGUUAGAAAAUAUGUAAUGAGUUUGUUGCAGAAAGUAUGAGAGACAGAGCAUGUAAUUGUAUAAGACAGACCCCCACAACUAUAAAUUACCACGCGUUGCGCGAGUUUCACGAUGUCUCCCACUAGAUCCUCACUCAACAAUUUUAUCAAUUUUAUCAUUUUUUAUGCAGAUCAUCAGUCAACAAUUUUAUCAUUUUUUAUUCCUUCUUUUUGUCUGCAACUAAUUUUUGUUUCCCAUUCUCUUCAAGAACUCAUUUUUCAUCCAAAUGAAGGAAAAAAAUAAUGUUAACAAGUGCUAAAUAUCUAACAAUAAUAACUUUUGUAUACAAAAUUGUGUAGUUAUAAUUUUGAUUUGUACUCAGUAUGUUUCUAUUUAAGUGAACAUUUUGCUCAUUUCACAUUUAUUAAGAAAAAUGUAUUGGUGAAUCAUUUUCUUAAGUGAAAUGCAGGAGUCAGUAUUUUAGGACAAUAUUUUUUUUACAAAAGACUCACUUAUAUUAAGGGACGGAGGGAGUAUUUUCAAGACAAAAUUUCUUUUCGUGGAUUUCUUAAACAAUCCUCUUAGAGCACUUGUUAACCAAACUCAUAAAAGAAUAAAUUAAAGAAGUAAGAGUAAUAAAUGGGAAAGAGAAAUUAUAACUAAUUUUACAGAAAUAUUAUUGGUUAACUGUGCAGGAAAAAUAAAUUAAAGAAUUGAAAAAAGUAAGAGUGUGUUUGGAUGAGGUAAUUGAGAAAUUUUAAAGAAUUUAGAAUUCUAGACAAUUAAAAUGGUUCAAUUAAAAUGCUUUCAUUUCUCAAUACUUUUGUUUGGAUGGAGUAAUAAAAAAUUUCACUGUCAUCAUUUUUGGACAACUUUUAUAAAUUUUAAUUUUUUGGGCAAAAUUUUAAUUUCAAAAAAUUUGAGGGGUCAAAUUAUAAAUUUUGAAUAUUUUGAUGGGUUAAUUUGCAAUUCUUUGAAAAAUGAUUGGGGUCAAUUUGAAAAUUUUGGAAAAUUUGAGGACCAAAAAAUGAAAAAUUAUAACAAUGAAGAAAUUUGAAAUUCUUAACUUUUAGGUGUCAUUUGAAAUUCUUUAAAUUUAACUUGAACAAAAUAAUUCAUAAAUUUUCAUCAUUUUAAAAAUUAUUUAAAUUAUUAUCCAAACAAUGAAAUUCGUAUUUAAAUUUCCUCAAAAAAUUCUCUAUCCUAAAUUAUGAUAGAACUUUCAUGAUCUAGAAAAACAAAUUGGACCUAACAUAAAAAAUGACAAACAACUAUAACUAUCAUUAAGCUGAUCUAUUAGAAUAAACCAAUGCUGCAAAAAGUGAAUGCUUUUCAAGCAAACGUGAUGGCUUGUCAAAUUCCUUUGCAAAACCUAGCAAAAACGUCAAAUACCCCACAAUUUACAUCACCAAUCUAAACAUAUAUAUGUAUUUUUUAAUAAUAAUACAGCAAUUGCAGUAUUAAAAGGUUUGCACAAAUAUAUUUUUCCAGUAAACUAAUGGUGAUAAUAGAAAGGACAAGAUUUUGCUGCAGUUCCUUAAAUGUAAGGUGUGUUCGGUAUUUAAUAUUAAACGUUGCUCGACAUAUAUCAUUGGUUAUGAUUCAAUUUGUUAUGAAAACACAUAUAAAUAGAUAUAUAACAUAAACAUGCCUGCAUCUAUGACCAAAACCCUGUCACAGUCCAUAACUGUUUGUAUUCUGUGAACAAUGUUAACAACCGUACGAUCUACAAAAUCCUCCCUGAUGAUCUUUUGUAUUACAGCAUCAGUUUGCGAAUCAUAACUGAAUAAUAUUUUGCUGCGUUUUAGCAUGAUCCUUCCGGCUAGCAUAGAAGUUGUGUUGAUGAUUGUAGGAAAAUUAUUGUGUUCAUGUCUUUGCAAAUCUUGGGUGUGAUAUUUUUUAUGCUUGGAAAAUUUGGGAUACUUCAUCUUCGUCAUUUACUUUUUGCUGAUGUUGGUGAAGUUGCUACUCCACGUCUAAUUUUGUUGUAAUAUCUUUUAUGGGUUAAUUAGGCUCCUCUUUUUUUUUUUCUUUGGUUAGCUUAGUGGCUAGAAUUCACUUUUUUUAAAGUGAAUAAGUGGGGUGUUCGGGGUUCGAACCUCGACCCCUGCAUAUAACAAUGCAUGUCCCUACCAACUGAGCCAUGCUCACGGAGACAAUUAGACUCCUCUUUAAUUCCAAAAAAAUAAAUAAAAUAAUAUAUCUAUAAUCAUAUUGGUCCUCUAUAUUAAAUUAUUUGCCGUGCACUAAGUUCUUUGAAUCCAACUAAAAAAUCACCUUAAACUCGGUGUUUAGGAGACUUGUAGCUUCCACUUCAAGUAAUUAGAGUAUAUGAGAAUGAGAAUGACUAACAUUUAAAUUUAAAUAUCUGACAUCUCUUACCGAACAAGUUGUUACUAGAAUUGAUUGAAAGCUCAUCAAAUUUUCGUGCAAAGUGCAAAAAAAUAUAAUUCAAUGCUCUAACAAUACUUUUUUUUAGAGGAUUUUCUGUCAAUAGCUGCCCACUACUUUAUUUGACUGAAUUAAAGUUGCAAAAGAAAAAGAAAAAAAAACGACAAAAUAUCCGGUUUGUGGACCGAUCUAGACAUUUUAGCAAAAGAACUGCACACAUAUCCAGACAUCGACAUUUCCAAUGAUACUUAAUUAAUGCUCCUAGCCAAUUGUUAUUGCGUCCAUUGAAUGGGAACAUUGUUUGGUCAACUAUUGAUUUGCUCGCGCGCUCUCUCUCUCUCCCAUCAAUGUCCUCAUCAAUUGUCAUUAUUCUUACGUGUCAUUUUCGAGAAAAAUUUUGUUAGUGUCACUUUCAAAGUUCAAUGCAACAUUAAAUAUCGUUUUAUCAAUUGUACUUAAUUAUUUAUUGAGGAGAGAUAAAUAUAUGAAAUGAGAUAUUAAAUGAAUAAGGUCAUUAUAGUAAAAGUAUAGCUUAUUGCAUCAAAAGUAGUAUCAAUUGUUGAUUGUCUUGGUUUGUGUAAAAUGUCAAAAUGUGACAAUUAAAAAGAAACGGAUGUAGUAUAAUACACCCUCCGAUCACAAAUAUAAGCAAACAUUCAUGUUUUAGAUUCAUUCAAUAAAUGAUGUAUGUGCCUACAUACAUCAUUUAUUGAAUGAAUCUAAAAUAUGAUUUUUUGCUUAUAUUUGUGAUCGGAGGGUGUACAUAUUAAGAAAAUGUGUACAAGUUCGGCCUUACAAUUUCGACAAUUGUCAGUUUAGCUAGGACUUCUAGACAUUAAUUCCUUUUCAAAUAAAAGUGGUUUUAAGUGUCUUACUUCCUCCGUCCCAAAUUGUAAGACGUUUUGGCCAUUUUACACGUAUUAAGAAAUGUAAUUAAUAUUGCGUGGGAAAGAAAAAUUAUGAGUUGUUUUACAAAAUUAUCCCUAAUAAAUGGUAUGGAAAAGAUAAAUGAAAUAAUUGAAAGAAGAGAGAGUAAUUAAUAGUUAAGGAUAUAAUAGGAAAAGUAACAUAAAUAUUUCAUUGGUAUUGUAAAACGACAUAUAAUUUGGGACAAAUUUUUUUUCUAAAGCGACAUACAAUUUGGGACGGAGGGAGUAUUAAGUAUUUGUGUAUUCUUCAUUAUCAAUCAAAUAUAUUAAAUUGAGAGUGAUAAAAAUAUAAAUUAGAGUUAUAAUUAAAAAAAUAAAUAUUUCAUUAAAAAUUUGUUGCCGCAUUGAUGAGUCCAAAUGAUAUAUAUAACCAACCAUUCAUUGUGUCCAUGAUGGGAACGGAAAGUUGUCUUGUGUCUAUCCUCCUCCUUAACAAGGAUUUGGUGGUACCUGUAAUGAAGAUCAAGCUUGGAAAAAAAAAAAAUUGCUACAUGUAAUUCAUCCACAGUGACCAUUGGGAAGAACUUUUAUCACCCUGUUUGUCACAAGUUUUCCUUGAUGAAAAAAAGUGCCACAUAUGAGGCCCCCCCCCCCCCCCCCCAGCCAUGGAAAGAAGAAACACCGGUACUAAUAAUUCAUUGCUUUGUACUUUGAAAUUGUUAGAGGCAAUUAUUGAACCCAUCCAUCCCUCAGUGAGUUCGUUCUUUCCAUGGGACGUCAAGCACUCCGAAAGACUCUUUUCUGGUUCAACCAUUAGGCUCUUGGAGGUGGAUUAUUUAGGCCAUCAAGUCUCUGGUUCAGGUGUGGUGAUGGAUGGAAGUAAGGUCUGUGCAGUAAUGUAAUGGCCACAACCUAAAAACGUCAAAUAGUUUUGUAUGCUCUUGGGGUUAACUGGAUACUAUCGUCGAUUUAUCAAAUAUUAUGCAACUAUUGCAGGGCCAUUAACAGAACUACUCAAGAAAGACGCUUUUACUUGGAACGAAGAUGCAGACCAAGCUUUUUAUUAAGCUUAAAUAAGCCAUGACAGCAACACCUGUACUUGCUCUGCCGAAUUUACAUAACCUUUUGUUGUUGAAACUGAUGGGUAAGGAACCGAUGUAAGAGCAGUGAUAAAUCAGAACGGCCACCCAGUUGCAUUUUUCUCCAAGAAACUAGCUCCACUUAUAUGAGGGAACUGUUGGCCAUUACUGAGACUUUGGAAAAGUUCCAACACUACUUAUUGGGACAUAAAUUCAUUCUCUGAACGGACCAAAAGAGCUUGAAAACUCUCCUGGACCAAUCCUUGCAAACCCCCAAACAGCAGGCGUGGUUUCACAAAUUUAUGGGGGUAUAAUUUCACAAUUGAAUACAAACCAGGAAAGGAGAAUAUGAUAGCCGACUCAUUGUCUCGAGUUUUCUUCAUGGCUUGGUCCGAGCCAGUACCAUCCCUACUACAAGAACUGCGAAAAGAGGUUGCACAUAAUGUUCAGUUACAAGCUUUGGUGCGGGAAUGUCAAGAAGAGUCUCAGGGGCACUCUCAUUAUACAGAUAGAGAUGGUGUUUUGUUAUGGAAAGGGAGGAUCGUGCUAGCCGCAAACAACACAUUGAUUGAGAAAAUUCUACAGGAAUAUCACUCCUCGGCCUUCACCGAUUGGAGGUCAUGCAGGUAGCACUCGAACCAUAGCUAGAAUUGCAUCAUAAUUUUUUUGGCCUAAAUUGAAGGAAGAUGUGAAGUUGUUUGCAAAAAAUUGCUUAGUUUAUCAAAAAGCUAAGACUGUAGAUGUGUUACCAGCCAGAUUGUUGCACCAUUACCUAUACCACAUCAAGUGCAAGAUGAUGUGGCGAUCGAUUUUAUUACCGGUCUUUCAAAUUCCUUGGAUUCACGGUCAUCAUGGUGGUUAUUGAUAGAUUGGCAAAAUACAAUUUUUUUUGGCUAUGAAGACUGAUUACAGAAGUCAGUCGGUGGCUGCAACCUUUAGGACUAAUAUUGUCAAACUACACGGAGUCGCUAAGUCGAUUAUCUCAGAUAGAGAUAAGAUUUUUACUAGUAAUUUUUUGCAGCACUUGCUUAAGAUGCAAGGCACUACUCUAGCUAUGAGUUUGGCAUACCAUCCUCAAUCUGAUGGUCAAUCGGAGGUCGUAAAUAAGAUUCUCGAAAUAUAUUUAAGGUGUUUCACUUUUCAUAAUCCUAAGGGCUGGUAUAAAGAAUUGGUGUGGGCUAAAUUCUGGUAUGAUACCUCGUUAAUUUCUGUAAAUAUCCUGCUCGAAUUAUAGCACUACAGAAAUGGUAGAACUUUCAUGAUCUAGAGCCAAAAAAAUUGACCUAACAUCAUAAAUGGAAAACAACUAUAACUAUCAUUAAGCUGAUCUAUUAGAAUACUCCUUAACCACUGCUGCAAAAAGUGAAGGCCUUUCAAGCAAACAUGAUGCCUAGUCAUAUUCCUUUGCAAAACCUGCCAAAAAUAUUACUGGUCUUCUAAAUUCCGAAUUCCGUUGGAUUCACGGUCAUCUUUUGGCUAUGAAGACUCAUUACACAAGUCAGUCGGUGGCUGCAACCUUUAGGUAGGACUAAUACUGUCAAACUACACGGAGUCCCUAAGUCGAUUAUCUCAGAUAGAGAUAAGGUUUUUACUAGUAAUUUUUGGCAGCACUUGUUUAAGAUGCAAGGCACUACUCUAGCUAUGAGUUCGGCAUACCAUCCUCAAUCCAAUGGUCAAUCAGAGGCCGUAAAUAAGAUUCUCGAAAUGUAUUUAAGGUGUUUCACUUUUCAGAACCCAAAGGGCUGGUAUAAAGCAUUGGAGUGGGCUAAAUUCUGGUAUAAUACAUCGUUUCAUGGUAGUUUGUGCAUGACUCCCUUUAUGGCUGUGAUGGUCACUAUGCUCCUAAUCUCAACAGAUAUGUGACAGAUAGUAAGGACCCUCCAGAAGUACAAAAACAACUAUAUGAUAGGGAUCUUUUAUUGACUCAUUUGAGAGAUAAUCUUAACAGGUCCCAACAACAAAUGAAACACUACGCAGACAAAAAGAAAAGGGAUGUGUAGUUUAAGGUGGGAGGUGAGGUAUUGGUAAAAUUACAGCCUUACCGACAACACUCUGUGAGCCUGCAAAAGAACCACAAACUGUCAAUGCGAUAUUUUGGCCCCUUUAAGGUAGUAGCCAAUGUGGGCGUUGUUGUUUACAAACUGCAGUUGCCGGACAAAAACCAAGAUACGUUCCAUGUUUCACAGUUAAAGGCUUUCUCUGGGACUGCCAAAGAACCGUAUCUACCAUUUUCAUUGACCACAACCGCUAUGGGUCCGGUUUUGAUGCCUACUGCCAUCCUACGCACCAUAACUGUGAUCACUAAUGGUAAGAGGGUGAACCAUGGCUUGAUUCAAUGCCCAGAAUCCGAAGCAACGUGGGAAGAGUUGGAGGGUUUAAAAGACCAUUAUCCUUUUUUAUCCUUGAGGAUAAGGUUCCUUUUAAUGGGGAAGGUGAUGUAACAGACUCAGGUUAUGCACCGCUUCUAGUAGUAGAGCAAGAACAAUACACAAAUAAUAUAAAAAAUAAUUAAGCCAAACUUGAUUUCUGUAACUCGAUAAUUUCUCUUGGAUAUUAUCCUGCUCGAAUUAUAGAACUACAGAAAUGGUAGAACUUUCAUGAUCUAGAAAGAAAAAAAUUGGACCUAACAUAAAAAAUGACAAACACUAUAACCAUCAUUAAGCUGAUCUAUUAGAAUACUCCUUAACCAAUGCUGCAAAAAGUGAAGGCCUUUCAAGCAAACGUGAUGGCUUGUCAUAUUCCUUUGCAAAACCUGCCAAAAAUAUCAAAUACCCCACAAUUCAUUAUUCAACCAAUCUAACUCUAUAUUUAUUUCAUACAAUAAUUGCAUUAUUUAAAGACAGAAACACUUGGGAUUAAAGGUGUGUUCGGUAUUUAAUAUUAAUGUUGCACGACAUAUAUCAUUAGUGUCUUUGUUGUGUCCGGUUUGAAUGUAAAUGUGUUUAUGUUCCAGUUUGUUAUGAAAACAUAUAGAUAUAUAACAUAAAGAUACCUGCAUCUAUGACCAAAACCCUGUCACAAUCCAUAACUGUUGGUAUUCUGUGAGCAAUGCUAAUAAUUGUACGAUCUGCAAAAUCCUCUCUGAUGAUCUUUUGUAUUACAGCAUCAGUUUGCGAAUCAACUGAUGCUGUUGCUUCAUCCAUGAAUAAUAUUUUGCUGCGUUUUAACAUGAUCCUUCCCAAGCAUAGAAGUUGCCUUUGCCCCACACUCCAAUUGUCUCCACCAUCAACCACUAACAAAAUAGUAUAAUAAACACAUUUCAGCUCAUACAUUCUUAUAACAUUCGAUUAAACUAUUUAAAAUACGUUCUUAUAACAUUCGAUUAAACUAUUUAAAAAGAAGUCUCUGAAGGUUUAGCAUUCGAUCCCUGCUGCUACUGACAAAUUAACCACUAACAUUUGCCUAUAAAAAACAAUGAGAAUAUGAUAUUUAUGAGAAGAGUUUAUUUGAUCACCUAAAGCGUCGAGUUUCUCAGGCUUUGCAGCCACCACUUCUUUCAAUUGGCACCGCUCAAGACUCUGCAGAAACAAAGAUGAACAUUAACAUAUUAACUGAAUUUCAUCCAUGUAUGUAGGAUGUUAUUCUGCACUUUUCUUCUCCCUUUUGCAGUGCACAUAGAAUGAUCCGGUCAAUUAGUGACUACAGGUAAAUCCCAGUUAUACAAUCUUAAUCGGUAAUUUACAAUAUUUUUUUAUUUAUGAUCUUUAAAUUCAGACCUUCUGAUUUCAGUCAAAGGGUCUCCAAUAUAUUGACUACAAUACUACAGAAUUCCCUAACUGUAUAGUACCCUAUGAAGCCCCGAUACCGAUACGAUAUGAUACCGAUACGGCGAUACGGGAAAAUUUUCAAAAUUCCCAAUACGAUACGGCCUCGAUACGUUAUUAAAAAAUUAAAUUUAGAAUUAAUAGUAUAAGUGCACAAUGUAUAAACAUAACUAAAAAUGAUAAUAAACAAACAUUCACAUUAAUGAAAAUGAUCAAAACAAGUGACAAUUACAUAUUUUUUCCGCACAAAUUAGAUAGAAUAUAGCUAAAUAUCAUUAGUAUCAUCCAAAGAGAACAUCAUAAGUACUAUAAAAAAAAAAGAACAUUUUUGUCUAAUGUUGACUACUUAACAGUUAACACUAAUUUAUAUCGAAAACAAACAGCAAAGAAACAUAACAUUAGAGAGAAGAGAAACAAAGUAGAAUUCAAUCACCGGUAAUGGUUAGAAGAGAGAAUAACUAUUGGCUAUUGCUAUGUGGUGACGAGAAACCCUAUUUUUUUAGGUUAGAAGAGACAAUAUGAUUUUGAUAGCGCAGCCAGACUUGAUAGGUGUUGGAGUAUAAGUAAGCUGUGUCGGAGUGCAAGUUAGUCGUAUCCGACACGUAUCGGUCAUUUUUUUCCUUCAAAAAAUAAAUAUUAAUUGCCCGAUACUUCUCCGAUACGCGUAUCCGACACGUAUCGGUCAUUGUUUUUCAAAAAAAUAAAUAUUAAUUGCCCGAUACUUUUCCGAUACGCGUAUCGGGACGUAUCGGGGCGUAUCGGUAUCGGAUACGUGUCGGAUACGAUACUUCACCAUUUUUGGAGUAUCGGGGCUUUAGAGAUAGUACCUGUUGACAAUCAAUUAAAAACUCAAACCAUAUUAAAAUAAUUUCAGCAAGGGCGUUGUUAUUAUAUGGAUGCUUGAAAGAGCUUAUCUUGUGACAUAAAUACUUAUAUAAGUAUUUUAAAGAUCUUAUGAAAAUAGUUUAUGAUAUAUCCAUUUUUUCGAAGAAGCCAAACUAGCUCGCCGAAAUUGGCACCAGGGAGAAUCGAAAAUAAGACCUUGAGACUCCAUGGUCCCAAGCCAACACCACCAGACCUACCCAAAUGGGUUUAUGCAGAUUCUGCCCUUAUUUCAUCUCCAAUCAUAGAAGCAGCUUGUGUCUAUGAACCACUUAUUGAAUAAGUUAUUUAUCCAAACACUCCUUAUAGACUAUAUGCUCAUGUAAGAAUUUCAUAACAUAAAAAUAAAACAACAAGCAAAUAUGCAGUGUAUUAUAUACCUUCCAAAUUUCUUCUUCUGAAUACAAUCCAAGAGGAUCAAUGUUGGUUCUUACUGUUCCUUGAAAGAGGACAGGCUCUUGUGGAAUAAUUCCAAAACGUGACCUCAAAUCAUGAAGACCAACAUUGGAAAUGUUAAUACCAUCAAUGAUUAUUUUUCCAGCUGAAGGCUCAAUCAACCUAAAUAACACUUGAAUGAGUGUUGAUUUUCCACUUCCUGUACGGCCAACAACGCCAACUUUUUCUCCACCUUCAAUUGUUAGAGAGACUCCCUUAAGAACUAGAGGAGUGUUUGGCCUAUACCUAACCUGCUCACACCAUUUAAUAACGAAAUAUAUUAAAUAUGUACUUAAAGAAUGCAUGUUACUACUGUUUCAAAAAAAAGAAAAUAAUGCAUGUUACUAUGAGAAAUUCUUGAUCAGUACCAUUGCGUAGAAAACUACUACCGUUUACAUUUGGUGUUUCCAAAAAUAAUGGUGUUUCCUGUUUCUAUCUCUACAUCAUAUUUUACUUUUCAACAUUUCAUGCUUCACAAUAUUGCUCAAUUCUGAACUAAACAUAUUGUCCUAAAGAGUAUGCAAAAUAUUUAAAACCUAAGUAACCAACACAUGCUUCUUUUCCCAAAUGGUAUACACUAAUUUCGGUUUAUUUAUGCAGGUUCUCAGUUCUCACCACAUAUUAAAUUGACUAAUCUUGCAAAUAGUAUAUACCUCUAAAUUAUGUAACUCUAUAGUUCCGUGACUAGGCCAAUUCUGAGGAGACUUAUCAGCAAUUUUCCAUGGAGCUUCUGAUGGAAGGUUAGUAAACUGUUUUAUCCUCUCAACAGAAACCAUUUUGUUUUCAACACUGCAAGUCAUUGUUAUGGUAAAUGACAAGAGACCACUCAAAGACAGUCCAUAUGAUAGAGACAAACCAACAUAUUCUGCAAAACCAAAAUUAUAUCCAAGUGGAACAAUUCUUUGUUAGGAAGACAUCUUUCAUAUUUAUCUAAAUAUUAUAAGUAUAAUGAUAUCAAAUUAAUAAAUGAAUGGUUAUGCAUUACAAAAUUCAUUAUUUAUGGCAUGUUUGAAUUGAAAUAUUUGAGCUUAACUACUAGCAUGAGUGCUUGUGAGACUAUUUUGGAGAGCUUAUGGAAACAACUUAUGACAUAUGUAUAAGCUGUUUUCAGCUUAUUUCUAUAGCUUCUCAAAGAUUGCAUAUGAAAAUAAUUUAUAGCUUAUAAGAAAAUAGUUUAUUAUAAUAUAUUAUAGAAAUCGCUUAUACAUAGCACUUGUAUCGUAAGCAUUUAUGUUGGAAGCGCUUAAUAGAUGUGUUUAUCCAAACAGAAGCUUAGUUUUUGUUUAAAAUGUGUGAAAUAGGGUUUUAAAAAAGUCUGUGAUUGCGAUCUUAGUCACGGCAUUAAGAUUUAUAAUGUCUCUGUGACCACUGUGAUUAUCAUCAAAAGGACCAUAACCACAACGUUACUGUGACCGAGUUUUAAAACCUAAGUAUUGACCAUCAUAAUGUGGUUAGAUGAAAAGAUAUGAAAGGGAUUGUACCUGGCUUAACAAUAGCACUUGGCAAAAAGAUCAUAAAAAGGGUGGCAAUGCAAAGGAAAACAACUCCCAUAUAGUCCAAACGAAAACCAAGCCAUUCAUUUGCACCAUUGUUAUGAAAAUCCAUUCUUAGACUUGCAUUCACCCUGUCAAUAUUUUCUUGAGAAAAUGCAUUCUGCUUUCUUAAGCAACGGAUUGUCAUAACACCAGAAAUGGUCUCUGAAAAGUGAUGAAUCACCGGAGCUUUUGUGAUUGAAUCAAGUCGAGUCAAUUCCCUAGAAGUUGCAAGAUAAAAUUUCUGCAAACCAGAACAAUGAGUGUCAAAAUGCACCAGAUAUAGUCUAAAUGAGAGAGCUUAUGACAUGUCUAUAACCUGUUUUCAGUUUGAUUUUCUUUAUUCUGUUGUGAUAGAAACAUCUUAUACAAUAAGCACUUAUGCUAUAAGCGCUUAAUUAAUUUGUUUAUCCAAACAAGACAAAUACUCGGUUACUUUCAAAAUUUCAUGGUCUUCAAACCUAACUCAACUUUACAAAAUCAACUUAUAAUGCAAGUGUAACCCUCACGCCUAGAAUAGACUCCAUUUAUAUAUGGUUGGUUGUGCAUUCUUAUUUUUCAUACUCAUAUUAUGGACAAUUUAUUGUACUACUACUACUACUACUAUUAUUAUUAUUAUAUACUGUUGCUGCAAAUUUAAAUUGGAGUAAGUAUAUCAUACCCUAUACCAGUUGUUGAGCCAAAACAGUGGAAUUAAGAGGAAGACAGUCUCCCAAGAAUUCUGACAUGUGACAAUGAGGAUACUGAAUAAUGAUAAGUAUGCUACCAUUACAAAGUUUACCAACAUUGGAAUUGAUAUAUCAACCCAAAGUAUAUCGGUAGAUACCUAAGCAAUUCAUAAUAAAAGUACAGUUAGAAUUUAGAAAGUCCGAACAAUUUAGAUGGUCAAUGCUGUUCAAAAACAUGGUUAAUUCCGUCUGGUAGAUGGUUAAUGAAUGUAAAGGUGUUGCAACUAAUUAAUCAUCAACAGAGCACAAUUAACCACAAUUUUCAGGUGCAUAUUAAACACAAUUAAACCAAACAUCAAAAGGGAUGUUACGUGAAACUCACACGACUCAAAAUUCUGCCUGAAGGAGUAGUAUCAAAGAAUGACAUUGGUGCGUGAAGGAUACUUUGAAGCAAUCCAAUGAAGAAGCUUUGAGAUGUCUUUAAACCCCAAUAAGUAAACAAGAGAGCUCUCACCAUAACAACUAUGCAUGCAACAACAGCUAUAACAGCAUAGACAGUAAUGAAAGUGAAAGAAGGAAUGCCAGAAUCAUCUGCAGUAGCAAUUGCUAGCCAAUAAUCACCAGCCAAAAAUGACAGCAUCCAAGCCACUGACAUUGCUACCAUGAGUGCUAUUCCCCACCAUCCAAAUGCUUCUGUGAAAUAAUGUUUGUAUACUUUAAGGUUUACACGUCCAGUUUCUCUUUCCUCGUCUUCAAUGAGCUUUGCUGCAGUUUUAUCAGACUUAGGUUUAUCUAGAGAAGACUGCUUUUCUAGCGCGCUUUCUUUUUCUUUCGAAGCGAUGCGAGCUAAUUUUGGAGACUGAGCAGAUUCAUCGCUAGUUUUAUCACUUGUUUCUGC